RNAcentral lists this long non-coding RNA (953 nucleotides) under Helianthus annuus (common sunflower). The record is from RNAcentral. Lineage: Eukaryota; Viridiplantae; Streptophyta; Magnoliopsida; Asterales; Asteraceae.
CAUUGCUUAAAGUUUUGUUUACGGAAAAGUAAUCUAGACUUUGAUGCCUGUACUCAUACUUGUGAACCAGAGCACACCCACCUUUGGUCGGUCCAGUACGACUUCUACCAUGGUGGUUUUGAAGCCAGAAUUCAUUGUGCCAUCGAUUUCUUCUCAUACACUUUUCAAACCCUGGGUUUAUUCACGCCAUUACAGCUCCGAUUAACCUUCACUGUUCCGAUCAUCGUCUCCAACUAAUGGAUGCAUCUGCAUCUGCAACAUCUUCAUCAAACUCGCGUAGAUACCCUCUUUGUUACUUCUGUUGCAAUUGUAUCAAACGGUGUUUCCGUUGUUUGUGCUCUUACGCUUAGGGUUAAAGAUUAGCUACUGCGGAUUAGCUACUGAAUGAUUGGCUCAUUUAUGUAUAUUUAGGGUGAUUUGGGCUACCGAGCGCUUUUUGCGGUCGCGGGCGGUGAGGUGACCUUUGGCCAUUGGGUUAACCAGGUAGCCGGGAAUUUAUUCAUUAACAUGGAGUGCUUUUAUGUAUUCAUAAAUUGCUAGAAGUAUGUUCGUUCUUAAAGUUAAUAAUGUUGUUGAUGCUUGGAUUGCUUUUUAAUGCAAUCUACAUGUAUCUACACUUUGAUUUCCACAUUACACAAUCACUAUACCCUUUGUAAUUCUAAUUGUAUUUUUUCACAACUACAAUUACAUGCAGAUGUAUAUGAAGGGGUAUGUCUCGAUGGUUUAUAGUGAUUACUUGAAGAAAAUGGUCGAGUAACACUCUGUUGUUACAGUCUGUUGUGCUUCAUCGGAGCAACAAAUCAUAGUACCCGUCGCAACGUGGCGGGGUGCUACUUCUAGUUAUUCUAUCACUCACAACCUUUUUUAGUGAAAAUGAUCAUCACUCACAACACCCAGCAAUACCCAUCACGCACAACACUCAACAACGCCCAACAAUACCAUCACUCACAAUA